GAUGAACGCUGGCGGCGUGCCUAAUACAUGCAAGUCGAGCGAACGGACGAGAAGCUUGCUUCUCUGAUGUUAGCGGCGGACGGGUGAGUAACACGUGGAUAACCUACUUAUAAGACUGGGAUAACUUCGGGAAACCGGAGCUAAUACCGGAUAAUAUUUUGAACCGCAUGGUUCAAAAGUGAAAGACGGUCUUGCUGUCACUUAUAGAUGGAUCCGCGCUGCAUUAGCUAGUUGGUAAGGUAACGGCUUACCAAGGCAACGAUGCAUAGCCGACCUGAGAGGGUGAUCGGCCACACUGGAACUGAGACACGGUCCAGACUCCUACGGGAGGCAGCAGUAGGGAAUCUUCCGCAAUGGGCGAAAGCCUGACGGAGCAACGCCGCGUGAGUGGUGAAGGUCUUCGGAUCGUAAAACUCUGUUAUUAGGGAAGAACAUAUGUGUAAGUAACUGUGCACAUCUUGACGGUACCUAAUCAGAAAGCCACGGCUAACUACGUG
This 497-nucleotide ribosomal RNA is filed under the name uncultured bacterium. Its description in RNAcentral is "partial 16S ribosomal RNA". It matches the Rfam family "Bacterial small subunit ribosomal RNA", at positions 28 to 507 of the family's 1533-position model. The record is from RNAcentral.